This 460-nucleotide ribosomal RNA is filed under the name Arthrobacter pascens. RNAcentral's name for it is "bacterial SSU rRNA". It matches the Rfam family "Bacterial small subunit ribosomal RNA", at positions 8 to 479 of the family's 1533-position model. The record is from RNAcentral. Lineage: Bacteria; Bacillati; Actinomycetota; Actinomycetes; Micrococcales; Micrococcaceae.
AGAGUUUGAUUCCCUGGCUCAGGAUGAACGCUGGCGGCGUGCUUAACACAUGCAAGUCGAACGAUGAUCCCAGCUUGCUGGGGGAUUAGUGGCGAACGGGUGAGUAACACGUGAGUAACCUGCCCUUAACUCUGGGAUAAGCCUGGGAAACUGGGUCUAAUACCGGAUAUGACUCCUCAUCGCAUGGUGGGGGGUGGAAAGCUUUAUUGUGGUUUUGGAUGGACUCGCGGCCUAUCAGCUUGUUGGUGAGGUAAUGGCUCACCAAGGCGACGACGGGUAGCCGGCCUGAGAGGGUGACCGGCCACACUGGGACUGAGACACGGCCCAGACUCCUACGGGAGGCAGCAGUGGGGAAUAUUGCACAAUGGGCGAAAGCCUGAUGCAGCGACGCCGCGUGAGGGAUGACGGCCUUCGGGUUGUAAACCUCUUUCAGUAGGGAAGAAGCGAAAGUGACGGUACC